This 220-nucleotide ribosomal RNA is filed under the name Brevibacterium sp. RNAcentral's name for it is "partial 16S ribosomal RNA". It matches the Rfam family "Bacterial small subunit ribosomal RNA", at positions 567 to 785 of the family's 1533-position model. The record is from RNAcentral. Lineage: Bacteria; Bacillati; Actinomycetota; Actinomycetes; Micrococcales; Brevibacteriaceae.
AGCUCGUAGGUGGUUGGUCACGUCUGCUGUGGAAACGCAACGCUUAACGUUGCGCGUGCAGUGGGUACGGGCUGACUAGAGUGCAGUAGGGGAGUCUGGAAUUCCUGGUGUAGCGGUGAAAUGCGCAGAUAUCAGGAGGAACACCGGUGGCGAAGGCGGGACUCUGGGCUGUAACUGACGCUGAGGAGCGAAAGCAUGGGGAGCGAACAGGAUUAGAUAC